GAAUUGUUCGCAAUGGGCGCAAGCCUGACGACGCAACGCCGCGUGGAGGAUGAAGAUCUUCGGGUCGUAAACUCCUGUCGAAUGGGACGAAUAGGUUGCGGAUUAACAGUCCGCGAUCCUGACGGUACCGUUAAAGGAAACCCCGGCGAAACCCGUGCCAGCAGCCGCGGUAAUACGGGGGGGGUAAGCGUUGUUCGGAAUUACUGGGCGUAAAGGGCUCGUAGGCGGCCAACUAAGUCACACGUGAAAUCCCUCAGCUUAACUGGGGAACUGCGUGUGAUACUGGAUGGCUUGGAUCCGGGAGAGGGAUGCGGAAUUCCAGGUGUAGCGGUGAAAUGCGUAGAUAUCUGGAGGAACACCGGUGGCGAAGGCGGCAUCCUGGACCGGUAUUGACGCUGAGGAGCGAAAGCCAGGGGAGCAAACGGG
RNAcentral lists this ribosomal RNA (426 nucleotides) under uncultured bacterium. RNAcentral's name for it is "bacterial SSU rRNA". It matches the Rfam family "Bacterial small subunit ribosomal RNA", at positions 359 to 776 of the family's 1533-position model. The record is from RNAcentral.